UGGGGAAUAUUGGCAACAAUGGGCGCAAGGCCUGAUGCCAGCAACGCCGCAGUGAGGGAUGACGGGCCUUCGGGCUUGGUAAAACCUCUUUUAGCAGGGAAGAAGCGAAAGUGACGGUACCUGCAGAAAAAGCACCGGCUAACUACGUGCCAGCAGCCGCGGUAAUACGUAGGGUGCAAGCGUUGUCCGGAAUUAUUGGGCGUAAAGAGCUCGUAGGCGGUCUGUCGCGUCUGCUGUGAAAUCCCGAGGCUCAACCUCGGGCCUGCAGUGGGUACGGGCAGACUAGAGUGCGGUAGGGGAGAAUGGAACUCCUGGUGUAGCGGUGGAAUGCGCAGAUAUCAGGAAGAACACCGAUGGCGAAGGCAGUUCUCUGGGCCGUAACUGACGCUGAGGAGCGAAAGCGUGGGGAGCGAACAGGAUUAGAUACCCUGGU
Molecule: ribosomal RNA, 433 nt
Filed under: uncultured bacterium
Lineage: Bacteria
Description: partial 16S ribosomal RNA
Rfam family: Bacterial small subunit ribosomal RNA
Source: RNAcentral